CAACAACUCUGUCAUUAGGAAGUGACUAAAGAUUUGUUUCUUAAGCACUUGGACAUUUGCAGAGAACUUCAACAGGAGGUCCAUAGAGCUGAGAUAGGUUCCAGCACCCUCCAAGACUCCAUAGGGAAUAAGCGGUAGAAAAUGGAUGGAUGGAUGGGUUGGCCCUGUGAUGAGGUGGCGACUUGUCCAGGGUGUACACCGCCUUCCGCCCGAAUGCAGCUGAUAUAUGCUCCAGCACCCCCCCGCCACCCUGAAAGGGAGAAGCGGGAACAGAUGAGAGCUGUCUUUGUUGCACCAAGCAAAGUCUUGUAAGAUUCCGCUGUGUACGUUGGAAUGAGACGGGAGGGGUUAUCUAUUGUCCUCAAAGACCUGCCGAAGCUGAAUCCAGGACGAGCCCAAACCCGAGGCAUCUUAUUUUGUCUUCAAUGUGACCGAAAACAAUGACUGUUUACAUACUCCCCAUUUCUGUUGUGACAUGUGUUGUUGCGUAAACAUUGAAUAUCUAAAUAAAAGAGGAGACGUAAACCUUUUUGUCAGAGGGUGGUGCAGACCUGUACAGAGAGUACAGUGGCCAUGUCUCUCCUCAGAUCUGAGUCUAAAUUGAAUUCUGUCUCUGUUCGAUUCUUUACCUUUUGUCUUGUUUAAUAGAUGUCAUCAGUAUUUGAACAUGACACCCACCCAUUUUCACUCCAUAGCAAUUCUAUCCCAUUUCCUUGUUCAUUUAUGGUAGUUUAAGGGUACCUUAAACAGCUUGCCAACGUCAGAAUUUGUCGAUACACCAGGGCAACACUUAUCAGCAGAUGUCCUGUUAGCAUGAUUCUGAAUAGGUCCUCAACUAAAAGAAUCGCCAGGCACACAACCCUCCACUUCUCCCGAGAGUCCAUCGUGUAUCCAAAAUAAUAAUUUCUAUCAGGACAGACAGGUUCUCCAGAAACCCGAACUUCUUAUCGAAGAGAUCUUGUCAAUUUCAUUGAGAGGCAAGUUGUUACGGCUCAGACCCCUGCCAACAGCGCUCAUCCAUCUGUGCGCUCCAGUGAGCGUACCUGAGGACACGCCCACGGGCGCGCGUCUCCGCCCUGCGGCAUCCACCAGCUGUAAUCAUUCACCGUCAAUCAGCACACCUGCAUGCAAUGGAGGAGCUGCCUUCUUAAGCCUGGACAACCUGCCAUCGCUCGCCGGAGUAUAGUCUCCAGUUGGCAUUCUACCUCCGUUCCCGUGUUUGACGUUUCUUUGUGUCUCAUCAUUCCUCAUCGUCGUCCCCCUGCUUCUCAGACUGCCCCCUUGGAUCUCGACCUCCCGCUUGGAAACGGAUCUUGUCUCUUCGCUCCUGCCCUGGAUCAUCUGCCUGUCCCACGGACUUCCGUGUUCUUUCGCUCUCACCAACAUUUAAGUGUUCAUGUCACCACCGCUGUUUCCCGCCUGGCCCCAAUUUGCCUUCCCGGAUCCUCGACCUCGUUUGGACUUUGGACCCGUUCUCCUGCCUUUGACCGCCGCUUGGACUUUGGACUUCCUCUGGCUUGUUUCCCUCCGGAUUUGGACGCUAUUCAUCCAACACGCACCUCAACAACCCCUCAGGGUAUUCACAUAUGGCAAUUCAAUGCAUAGCCAUUCAUGCAGAAAAAACAUAGUAGCAUACACACUCCACGUAAUC
Nerophis ophidion (straightnose pipefish) is the source of this 1651-nucleotide long non-coding RNA. RefSeq lists it as uncharacterized. Lineage: Eukaryota; Metazoa; Chordata; Actinopteri; Syngnathiformes; Syngnathidae. The transcript is spliced from 6 exons. The record is from RefSeq and is a predicted model, not a curated record.